GUCAAGUCAUUCCAGGUUCUUCUCUGUCUGCCCGCAGAGCUGUUCCAUGCCCUGCUUAGAGGACCAGGAGAAGGGAUAGCCACCGCUGCUUGCUGGAGGCUGUGGCACCGAUGCUGGCCUCACUGCGUUUGGUGGUGACAGAGACUGCUGCGUGGCUGGAGCGGUAGGAAGGAGAAAACAGUUUUGGGCCCAGGGAUGCAGGGGAGGUCCUAGCAAGUGAACACACCAGCUGCUGCCCUUCUCCCUGGCCAUUGACACAUCUGGUUCAUCUCAGCAUCCCCAGGUGUUACCUGAAGGGCAGAGUGUAGCCAGCCCAGGCCUGGGAAUGCACCAACACAGGGCCCCUGGUGAUAGCUGUGGUCAUGGACAUGUCCACCGAUGUGGACAUCUUCAAGGACCUGCUGGAUGCCGGUUUCAAGAGGAAAGCAGCCGUGUACAUUAUCAUGGACGAGAGUAAAGUCAAGUACAUUCUGCACAUGUUCUGCACACUCAACUGCAUGUUGAGUGGACCCGAGUGCACCUGGGGCACCUCAAGGCAUCCACUGAAGAUCUUGAAAUGUAUCCCUGAUGGAUAAAGGAGGACUACUAUAUUCUGAAUAGAUUUUAUAAGAAGAAAAUUAAUGAUUCACAAACUAUUUUAACCUUAGAAUUUAAAUAAACAUGUAUAUUCCCUACAAGUUAAAAACAAAUACUGUAAUAAUCUAUGGCCGCUCUUUCUUAUUUUUAUGCCAGCAAGGUAAUGGACUGGUAUUGAUUUGCUGAGGUUCAAAUUUUGGAUUCUAGUUUUUCUUAAACAUGACUCAUAUUAAGAAGAAUAUGUUCAACUCUGGUGUGCUUUAUCAGUCAAAAAUACAAAUUAAUUAUGCAGAGAAUAUUAUUUUCUUUUUUGAGACGGAGUCUCCCUCUGUCCCCCAGGCUGGAGUG
Molecule: long non-coding RNA, 924 nt
Organism: Rhinopithecus roxellana (golden snub-nosed monkey)
Lineage: Eukaryota; Metazoa; Chordata; Mammalia; Primates; Cercopithecidae
Exons: 4
Source: RefSeq, a predicted model, not a curated record